Molecule: ribosomal RNA, 272 nt
Filed under: Escherichia coli
Lineage: Bacteria; Pseudomonadati; Pseudomonadota; Gammaproteobacteria; Enterobacterales; Enterobacteriaceae
Description: partial 16S ribosomal RNA
Rfam family: Bacterial small subunit ribosomal RNA
Source: RNAcentral
AAAUUGAAGAGUUUGAUCAUGGCUCAGAUUGAACGCUGGCGGCAGGCCUAACACAUGCAAGUCGAACGGUAACAGGAAACAGCUUGCUGUUUCGCUGACGAGUGGCGGACGGGUGAGUAAUGUCUGGGAAACUGCCUGAUGGAGGGGGAUAACUACUGGAAACGGUAGCUAAUACCGCAUAACGUCGCAAGACCAAAGAGGGGGACCUUCGGGCCUCUUGCCAUCGGAUGUGCCCAGAUGGGAUUAGCUAGUAGGUGGGGUAAUGGCUCACC